This 406-nucleotide ribosomal RNA is filed under the name uncultured bacterium. Its description in RNAcentral is "partial 16S ribosomal RNA". It matches the Rfam family "Bacterial small subunit ribosomal RNA", at positions 30 to 526 of the family's 1533-position model. The record is from RNAcentral.
AUUGAACGCUGGCGGCAGGCCUAACACAUGCAAGUCGAGCGAGAGGCGGACGGGUGAGUAAUGUCUGUGAAACUCCCUGAUGGAGGGGGAUAACUACUGGAAACGGUAGCUAAUAUCGCAUACCAUCAGAUGUGCCCACAUGGGGUUGGAUAGUAGGUGGGGUAACGGCUCACCUAGGCGACGAUCCCUACAUGGUCUGAGAGGAUGACCAGCCACACUGGAACUGAGACACGGUCCAGACUCCUAAGGGAGGCAGCAGUGGGGAAUAUUGCACAAUGGGCGCAAGCCUGAUGCAGCCAUGCCGCGUGUGUGAAGAAGGCCUUCGGGUUGUAAAGCACUUUCAGCGGGGAGGCGUUACCCGCAGAAGAAGCACCGGCUAACUCCGUGCCAGCCGCCGCGGUAAUAC